GGAACAUGGUAUUAUUACAGAGGUACAGAUAUAUUUGUUCAUUUUUCUCCUUCCUUGAAUGGAUUUUGGAAGAUAUGGUACCUUAGCUAGGAAGAUCUACAGAGAGCUUUUCUAAUCCUUGGCAGUAACAAGAGAGAUGGAAAUUGAGCCAAUACUGUAACUGAGAGUUACAACAGUAAUCUGAGUCAAGUUAUAAACUGUACUGGGUUGCCUGUGUUGCCAUCAAAGGGAUACUGUUUAGAACAGCAGAGCUGAGAGAUCUCUGGGAAUUCCCCGUGUUGAUCAGAUCCCUGGGUCAGAUCAGUCAGAAAUGGUGAAAUUCUGGGCUCAAAAUAUGAGUGUGAUCCUCCUGAAGAUGGUUGCAGCCCCUCUUCAUUUCUCUCAGCAAGUUAAUGAUACCUUUUGCUCUUUGGGAAAAAUCACUCCAGAAAACUCUCUGAAAGGAAAAGAAUGGAUAGGGAACCCCUUCUUGACUGGAAAAAAUCCAAAUGAAAGAGUUAAUGAAGCAAAACCAUCAAGGGAGUCCCAACACAAUCACCAUUGAAAGGAAAGCAUAUAUUUGACAAAUUUGCAUAGAUGGAAAUGAUACCAGCAGCCCUAUCUCUGUACAAUUCUGUCCCAUCCAUCCGUAAGCGAAGGACAUGGUGCUUUUUAUGUUACCUGUAGCUCACUGAGUACCAGACAAGCACAUUUUCAGCCAUGAGAAAGCCACGGGGCUACAUGUUCGUUCUGCACAGAGGGCUGCAUUCCAUGCAUGCAUUGAAAUUACAGCUAAAUGGAAACUGGAGUUCCUCAGGGCAAGAACCAUAACUUCUAAUUAACAAAGGUAAAAGAUAAACUGGAAAAAAAAAUAUUCUUUCAGAUAUGGCUAAAAUUAUGAUGUGAGUCUUAGAAAUAUUUAUCUUUCCUUCCAUAAGUGAACAUUCUUCUGGUGACUUAGAGUUUUUCUUGGACUGUUAUUACUGUUUCACAAUGAUCUAAGGCUUUAUUUGUAGUCUUAGUGGUGCUUAUAUAAUUACAUAAAUCUAAAAAAAAUAUAGUGUCUGAUUAUGCUAAAUUCCAGUUAAAAUGAGUCAAUUGAAAAAGGAACUAUACCUCAACGUUUCAGCUACACUUCAGAGGAUCGUGUAUUCACGUGCUUAGGGGGGUGCAGAAUGAAUGAUCUUGUCACAGGAGACCGUCAGGAUUUCUGUGAAACUCCAAAUAUAAUUAAAAUGUCUAAUGUGUAUUCACAAAUACAUUAAAUACAGCAUUCAAACUCUCUGGUAGUCCUGCAAAAAAAAAAAAAACUAGAGUUGGGCCAAGUGAGAAAUGAGACCAUUUAUCUCCUCUGAGAGCUUGUCUUUGAGAAAGCACAUGAGAAAGCCAAGGCUAAUUAACUGAAAAUACAGAAUUAGAGUUGAUGAAAUAGCUAUUCUCAUGCCAUGAAUACAGAAUCAGCUGAACUCUGCCAAUGAUGCUUUAUCUCUGUGUGGCACCACCAGACAUACCUCCAGGAUUUUCUAGACGUACCACCCAUCCACAGAGUAAUUGUGCCCACUAACCAGCCCACACCUUAAAUCUGAUCCUUCCUAUAUAUGCCAAAGUGAUUUCACACAUCUGAGGUGACUGCAUAGUGCAUGUGGAGCAUAUCCUAUGCUUCCUGUAGCACCAGGCAUCAUAUGAGUGAGAUAUACAUCCACACUGUGUGCCCACUCUCCAGUUGUCUAGAAUAUUUCUGUAUGCAACAGGUCCAAAACUGCCAGUGCCCAUGUCGGUAGACAGCACACGCAAAACAGCGCCUGACCUUUUACCAAGAACUAGUCUCUAAGAAGGCUGAAAAUCCCUGACAAAUAUAGAAAGUGAUCAAAAUUUGCCCAGGCAAGAUUUCCAGGCAAGAGAAGGGCACAUGCUGGGAAACAGCAAGCAAGAAGCCAGAGGACGUGCCAGGAAUGGCAGUUCUGCUGUAUCAUCCACGGCUGUUAAUGUAUGCUGUUGCUGUUGGAAAGUAUGUCAAUAUAAAUAUUAAAACUUCUUCUGCAGAAGCAUGUCUUCCUACCAGCUAGUUAAAUCAUGAAAUCAAUAGUCUGUAUUAUAUCAUAUAUUAAUGACUAGAGCUGGAUCAAAUACAAUUCAGGUUCAUUGCAUAGUUUUCCAUGAUUACAGUUCACCUUUUUCUCUUGCCUGGGCCAGAAAAAUCUUACUGAUGACAUACAACAAUCAUUUCUCUCAGUAUUACAGAAAACCUUAGGAGCAACAGGAUCAGACAUGCUGAGAAAUUCUCUUAGUAAUUGCUCAGAAUGAAAACCAAACACCUUACAAGAUACUUGAUAAAAAUAUGAAACAUUUAAGAAAUGCACAGCAUUAAAAAGGAAACAUAAUUUUUCAACAAUUUUGACCAGCAGUGUAAUGUGUUUCCAAUAGAGUAAUGUGUUUCUGGGUUUUGUAGUCAGGGAUCUUUGCAGAGCACAGCAGAUCUGAUCCUAAGCUUUUCCAGCUCAAAAAGCUAGUAACAAUAGCUCGUAUCUCUUGCAUAUGCUCUCCACAGUGCCCCACAAACCUCUGUAGGUGAGAAGUGUCUAAGCUUUUGCUGGCUGCCAGUCCCAAGAUGCUAACUUCCUCUUUCAGUGUAGGAUAGAAGCAAAAAUGGCACAAAACAUGGCAAAACACUCAUGACGGCUCCAGAAAUCACUCAGUUUUCAUCAAUAGUAUGUACCGUAUGCUGCCAUGGGGAGUUUGGCUACCAUGCACUUCUUCUUAGUAGAAAACAUUCUCCAUCUAGUAAGAAUUUGCUGAAUGUGUAAUGCCUCCCUAUUAAUUCUGAGCGAGCAAUGUGCACCUGAGAAUCCCGAUACGCAGCUGGAUCAACAUUCCCGCGCACUCAUGCGGUGACUCAUUGGGUCUGAUCCAGUUCAUCUCGCCAAUUAAUGAAAACAACAGCACCUUCAAAGUCCAGCCUUAAGCCUUUUAUCUCAAACCACUUGACCAUUGCUAAAAAUAAUGAUUUGCUUCCUAUGAUAUACAUGGAGAUCCAGGACAUUUUACAAAGGAUACAAUAAAAAUACAUAUGUCUUCA
RNAcentral lists this long non-coding RNA (3055 nucleotides) under Anas platyrhynchos platyrhynchos (common mallard). Its description in RNAcentral is "lncRNA (ENSAPLG00000028945.1)". The record is from RNAcentral. Lineage: Eukaryota; Metazoa; Chordata; Aves; Anseriformes; Anatidae.